This 1432-nucleotide ribosomal RNA is filed under the name Limosilactobacillus fermentum. Its description in RNAcentral is "bacterial SSU rRNA". It matches the Rfam family "Bacterial small subunit ribosomal RNA". Lineage: Bacteria; Bacillati; Bacillota; Bacilli; Lactobacillales; Lactobacillaceae. The record is from RNAcentral. RNAcentral also lists the same sequence under 2 other names.
UGCAAGUCGUACGCUUCUUUUUCCACCGGAGCUUGCUCCACCGGAAAAAGAAGAGUGGCGAACGGGUGAGUAACACGUGGGUAACCUGCCCAUCAGAAGGGGAUAACACUUGGAAACAGGUGCUAAUACCGUAUAACAAUCGAAACCGCAUGGUUUUGAUUUGAAAGGCGCUUUCGGGUGUCGCUGAUGGAUGGACCCGCGGUGCAUUAGCUAGUUGGUGAGGUAACGGCUCACCAAGGCCACGAUGCAUAGCCGACCUGAGAGGGUGAUCGGCCACAUUGGGACUGAGACACGGCCCAAACUCCUACGGGAGGCAGCAGUAGGGAAUCUUCGGCAAUGGACGAAAGUCUGACCGAGCAACGCCGCGUGAGUGAAGAAGGUUUUCGGAUCGUAAAACUCUGUUGUUAGAGAAGAACAAGGAUGAGAGUAACUGUUCAUCCCUUGACGGUAUCUAACCAGAAAGCCACGGCUAACUACGUGCCAGCAGCCGCGGUAAUACGUAGGUGGCAAGCGUUGUCCGGAUUUAUUGGGCGUAAAGCGAGCGCAGGCGGUUUCUUAAGUCUGAUGUGAAAGCCCCCGGCUCAACCGGGGAGGGUCAUUGGAAACUGGGAGACUUGAGUGCAGAAGAGGAGAGUGGAAUUCCAUGUGUAGCGGUGAAAUGCGUAGAUAUAUGGAGGAACACCAGUGGCGAAGGCGGCUCUCUGGUCUGUAACUGACGCUGAGGCUCGAAAGCGUGGGGAGCAAACAGGAUUAGAUACCCUGGUAGUCCACGCCGUAAACGAUGAGUGCUAAGUGUUGGAGGGUUUCCGCCCUUCAGUGCUGCAGCUAACGCAUUAAGCACUCCGCCUGGGGAGUACGACCGCAAGGUUGAAACUCAAAGGAAUUGACGGGGGCCCGCACAAGCGGUGGAGCAUGUGGUUUAAUUCGAAGCAACGCGAAGAACCUUACCAGGUCUUGACAUCCUUUGACCACUCUAGAGAUAGAGCUUCCCCUUCGGGGGCAAAGUGACAGGUGGUGCAUGGUUGUCGUCAGCUCGUGUCGUGAGAUGUUGGGUUAAGUCCCGCAACGAGCGCAACCCUUAUUGUUAGUUGCCAUCAUUCAGUUGGGCACUCUAGCAAGACUGCCGGUGACAAACCGGAGGAAGGUGGGGAUGACGUCAAAUCAUCAUGCCCCUUAUGACCUGGGCUACACACGUGCUACAAUGGGAAGUACAACGAGUCGCGAAGUCGCGAGGCUAAGCUAAUCUCUUAAAGCUUCUCUCAGUUCGGAUUGUAGGCUGCAACUCGCCUACAUGAAGCCGGAAUCGCUAGUAAUCGCGGAUCAGCACGCCGCGGUGAAUACGUUCCCGGGCCUUGUACACACCGCCCGUCACACCACGAGAGUUUGUAACACCCGAAGUCGGUGAGGUAACCUUUUGGAGCCAGCCGCCUAA